This 71-nucleotide transfer RNA is filed under the name Ovis aries (sheep). It matches the Rfam family "tRNA". Rfam says of the family: Transfer RNA (tRNA) molecules are approximately 80 nucleotides in length. Their secondary structure includes four short double-helical elements and three loops (D, anti-codon, and T loops). Further hydrogen bonds mediate the characteristic L-shaped molecular structure. tRNAs have two regions of fundamental functional importance: the anti-codon, which is responsible for specific mRNA codon recognition, and the 3' end, to which the tRNAs corresponding amino acid is attached (by aminoacyl-tRNA synthetases). tRNAs cope with the degeneracy of the genetic code in two manners: having more than one tRNA (with a specific anti-codon) for a particular amino acid; and 'wobble' base-pairing, i.e. permitting non-standard base-pairing at the 3rd anti-codon position. Lineage: Eukaryota; Metazoa; Chordata; Mammalia; Artiodactyla; Bovidae. The record is from Rfam by way of RNAcentral.
UCAUAGGUAGCUCAGUGGUAAAGAAUCUGCUUGCCAAGCAGGAGACCUGGGUUCAAUCCCUGGGUUGGGAA